GACGAUCCAUAGCUGGUUUCAGAGGAUGAUCAGCCACACUGGGACUGAGACACGGCCCAGACUCCUACGGGAGGCAGCAGUGGGGAAUCUUAGACAAUGGGCGCAAGCCUGAUCUAGCCAUGCCGCGUGAGUGACGAAGGCCCUAGGGUCGUAAAGCUCUUUCGCCUGUGAAGAUAAUGACGGUAGCAGGUAAAGAAACCCCGGCUAACUCCGUGCCAGCAGCCGCGGUAAUACGGAGGGGGUUAGCGUUGUUCGGAAUUACUGGGCGUAAAGCGCGCGUAGGCGGACCAUCAAGUUGGGGGUGAAAUCCCGGGGCUCAACCCCGGAACUGCCUCCAAAACUGGCGGUCUGGAGUUCGAGAGAGGUGAGUGGAAUUCCGAGUGUAGAGGUGAAAUUCGUAGAUAUUCGGAGGAACACCAGUGGCGAAGGCGGCUCACUGGCUCGAGACUGACGCUGA
This 457-nucleotide ribosomal RNA is filed under the name uncultured Roseovarius sp. Its description in RNAcentral is "bacterial SSU rRNA". It matches the Rfam family "Bacterial small subunit ribosomal RNA", at positions 275 to 749 of the family's 1533-position model. Lineage: Bacteria; Pseudomonadati; Pseudomonadota; Alphaproteobacteria; Rhodobacterales; Roseobacteraceae. The record is from RNAcentral.